UCUCUCUACUUUUCCGCCGUUGAAUCUCUACGGGCGCAGGCUGCGGACGUGCGCCGGGCGUCGUCUUGCCGGCCGGACCUUCUUCCCGCGUGGGCGAGCCGCGUCCUCCCUCCGCCGCGCCCUGCCUGGCUUGCUCACUUUCCGGCGCAGGGGCGAUGGAGCUGGCGAACGGAGUGGAGCUGCGAGAGCGGCGCCUGGCGGAGCGGGAGCCGGGGCUGGCGGGGGCCGCAGGGGCCGCGUCCCGCGGGCCGCCCCUCUCGGGGACGUCCUACUGGCUGGACUUGUGGCUCAUGGCCGCCUUCAACCUGGCGCUCUUCGUCUUCGUCUACCUGCUGCCGUGACGCAGGACAACCUGAUUCCAUGGUAGAAAAGCUAUUGUUGCCAUUCCUCCAGCAGCAUGUCUGUUCGGAACAAAGACACGUUUGGGAAACUGUUACAGACUGUUCUCUCGAGAAGCGAUGCCUGCGACAACUGCAUUUGAACUGUUAGCACUCUUUGUUGAGCCUGCCAGACGUGUGGUUUGACCUUCUACUUUUCAACCUGAAAUGGAUGGAAGUUGUGCCUUAUGACAAAUGUUACGCUGCUGUUGAUGCACUUAAAGGUUUUCCACUAUAUUAAAAUGGUUCCUUUUAUCUAUG
Molecule: long non-coding RNA, 638 nt
Organism: Podarcis muralis (Common wall lizard)
Lineage: Eukaryota; Metazoa; Chordata; Lepidosauria; Squamata; Lacertidae
Source: RefSeq, a predicted model, not a curated record